This 1970-nucleotide ribosomal RNA is filed under the name human gut metagenome. RNAcentral describes it as "bacterial LSU rRNA". It matches the Rfam family "Bacterial large subunit ribosomal RNA", at positions 1 to 1983 of the family's 2925-position model. The record is from RNAcentral.
GAAAGUAAUGAAGGGCGUACGGUGGAUGCCUAGGCUCUUACAGGCGAUGAAGGACGUGAUAAGCUGCGAAAAGCCGCGGUGAGGCGCAAAUGGCCCUUGACCCGCGGAUCUCCGAAUGGGACAACCCAAUAUCUUGAAGAGAUAUUAUCCCGCCGGUGCGGGAGGCGAACGCGGGGAACUGAAACAUCUUAGUACCCGCAGGAAAAGAAAAUAAAGAAUGAUUCCCCCAGUAGUGGCGAGCGACCGGGGAAGAGCCCAAACCGACGUUGUCUCGGCAUCGUCGGGGUUGUAGGACCGCGCCAUCGCAAGAAAGGCCGUGAGUGGAAGCGACUGGAAAGCCGCGCCAUAGAGGGUGACAGCCCCUUACACGAAGCAGCCUGAAGCGUAGCGGACUCCUGAGUAGCGCGGGACACGAGAAAUCCUGUGUGAAUCCGCCGGGACCAUCCGGCAAGGCUAAAUACUCGUAAGAGACCGAUAGUGAACCAGUACCGUGAGGGAAAGGUGAAAAGGACCCCUUGCAGGGGAGUGAAAGAGUUCCUGAAACCGUACGCCUACAAGCGGUCGGAGCAUCUUGAAUGAUGUGACGGCGUGCCUUUUGCAUAAUGAACCUACGAGUUGCCGUCACCAGCGAGGUUAAGUGCGACGACGCACCGAGCCGCAGCGGAAGCGAGUCUUAAAAGGGCGCGAUAGUUGGUGGAGGCAGACGCGAAACCGAGUGAUCUACACUUGUCCAGGAUGAAGUCCCGGUAACACGGGAUGGAGGUCCGCACCAAUAAGCGUUGAAAAGCUUCUGGAUGAGGUGAGUGUAGGAGUGAAAGGCCAAUCAAACUCGGAGAUAGCUCGUACUCCCCGAAAGGCAUUUAGGUGCCGCCUGUGGCGUUCCCGACGUGAGGUAGAGCGACUGAUAGGAUGCGAGGGCUUCACCGCCUAUCAAGUCCUGACAAACUCCGAAUGCACGUCGGCCAAGCCAUGGAGUAAGGGCAUGGGUGCUAAGGUCCGUGCCCGAGAGGAGAAGAAUCCAGACCACCGGCUAAGGUCCCGAAAUACUGGUUAAGUUAGACUAACGCAGUCCGGCCCCCAAGACAGCUAGGAUGUUGGCUUGGAAGCAGCCAUUCAUUCAAAGAGUGCGUAACAGCUCACUAGUCGAGGAGCUGGGCGUGGAUAAUAAUCGGGUAUAAAACCAGUUACCGAAGCCGUGGGAUGCUCAAGCAUCGGUAGGGGAGCAUUGCAUGCGGCUUGGAAGGCGGGGCGCGAGCCCCUCUGGAGCGCAUGGAAACGCAAAUGUAGGUAUAAGUAACGACAAGGGGGGUGGGAUGCCCCCCCGCCGAAAGACCAAGGUUUCCUGAACAACGCUAAUCGGUUCAGGGUCAGUCGGGUCCUAAGCAUAAGCCGUAUGGCGAGGGCGAUGGAUGAAACGGUUAAUAUUCCGUUACUGUCUUGGUGUGUGACGCGGCGACGGAGUAGUGACACGGCCGCCUCCUGACGGAAAAGGGGGUUGAAGCGCAAAGGUGUCGAGGAAGGCAGGCAAAUCCACCUUCCGAGCCGAAGCGCGAUAGUACGCCGGGCCCUUUGGGGCAAGGCGAUAGUGCCGGUAAUCAGACUUCCAAGAAAACCCGCUAAACUUCAGCACCAAGUCACCCGUACUCCAAACGGACACACGUGGUCGGGUAGAAUAUACUAAGGCGCUUGGGAGAUUCACGGUUAAGGAACUAGGCAAAUUGACCCCGUACCUUCGGAAUAAGGGGUCCUCGCUUUUGCGAGGCGCAGAGAAUAGGUCCAGGCAACUGUUUAACAAAAACACAGGGCUGUGCCAAUUUGAAAGAAGAAGUAUACAGCCUGACACCUGCCCGGUGCCGGAAGGUUAAGAGGAGAGCUCAUCAGCGAUGAGAAGGCUUGAAUUGAAGCCCCGGUAAACGGCGGCCGUAACUAUAACGGUCCUAAGGUAGCGAAAUUCCUUGUCGGGUAAGUUC